Long non-coding RNA from Prunus avium (sweet cherry), 376 nucleotides. RefSeq lists it as uncharacterized. The record is from RefSeq and is a predicted model, not a curated record. Lineage: Eukaryota; Viridiplantae; Streptophyta; Magnoliopsida; Rosales; Rosaceae.
AUCCUUUAUUAUAGAUUUCUACCAUGAAGUAGAGAGAGAGAGAGAGAGAGAGAGGGGGGGGGAAGAAAAAGAAACAAGAUGAAGAGCAUGUGUGUUUGUCUUGCAAUAUUUCAUACUUAUCUUGUGACAGGAUAUCCGAAGGAUAAAUGUGUACCAGACGGGGACAUAGGGCAAUGAGGCCAAUAUGGGUCACAUGCUGGGUACAAUUUGUGAAGGAUAACCAAGAUUUGAAGGAAUGAUGUGAUAUGAUUUGGAUUGUGUAUAUUUAUAUUAUAUUUACUAGAGUGUGUAAAAUAACAUUGCUUGACUGGCAUAUUACGUAAUCUACUCACUGAGCGGUGGUUUGCUCAUCUCUCACCUACUUUGUUUUUCAGAU